RNAcentral lists this long non-coding RNA (380 nucleotides) under Mytilus galloprovincialis (Mediterranean mussel). Lineage: Eukaryota; Metazoa; Mollusca; Bivalvia; Mytilida; Mytilidae. The record is from RNAcentral.
CCCUAUGUUCUAUUUUUAGCCAUAGCGGCCAUCUUGGUUGGUUGGCCGGGUCACCGGACACAUUUUUUUAACUAGAUACCCCAAUGAUGAUUAUGGCCAAGUUUGGUUAAAUUUGGCACAGUAGUUUCAGAGGAGAAGAUUUUUCUAAAAGAUUACUAAGAUUUACGAAAAAUGGUUAAAAAAUGACUAUAAAGGGCAAUAACUCCUAAAGUGGUCAACUGACCAUUUCGAUCAUUUGACUUAUUUGUAGAUCUUAUAUUGCUGAACAUUAUUGCUGUUUACAGUUAAUCUCUAUCUAUAAUAAUAUUCAAGAUAAUAACCAAAAACAGCAAAAUUUCCUUACAAUUACUAAUUCAGGGGCAGCAACCCAACAACGGGUU